This 703-nucleotide ribosomal RNA is filed under the name Lagenidium deciduum. Its description in RNAcentral is "eukaryotic LSU rRNA". It matches the Rfam family "Eukaryotic large subunit ribosomal RNA", at positions 86 to 632 of the family's 3401-position model. Lineage: Eukaryota; Oomycota; Peronosporomycetes; Pythiales; Pythiaceae. The record is from RNAcentral.
ACGGCGAGUGAAGCGGGAUGAGCUCAAGCUUAAAAUCUCCAUACGAGUUUCGUGUGGCGAAUUGUAGUCUAUAGAGGCGCUGUCAGUGCGGCUGUUUGGGACAAGUCUCUUGGAAAAGAGCAGCAUGGAGGGUGAUACUCCCGUUCCUGCCUGAGCAGCUUGCGCGUACGACACGUUUUCUUUGAGUCGCGUUGUUUGGGAAUGCAGCGCAAAGUGGGUGGUAAAUUCCAUCUAAAGCUAAAUAUUGGUGCGAGACCGAUAGCGAACAAGUACCGUGAGGGAAAGAUGAAAAGAACUUUGAAAAGAGAGUUAAAGAGUACCUGAAACUGCUGAAAGGGAACCGAAUCGUUUCCAGUGUCUAUAAUCCGUAGCAUAUUUCAUCGGCGAGUGGAUGUGUGCAGUGUUAAUGGCAGCGGCUUGCUGCGCCUUGCAUUGUUCUACGUUUACUUGCUGGUGCCCUGUGUUGCGGUGGGACGUCAAAGUCAGUUCGUAUACUGCGGGAAAUGGUCGUCGAGGAGGUAGGUGCAUUAGCACUGUUAUAUCUCGGCUGACUAGUCGUCGUGGUUGGGACUGAGGUGCCUACAAUGUGCUUUAAAGUCUUGCGGAUGCUCAUUUGGCCGACUGUUUGGAUAGCUUGCUAUGUCUGCGGUUUGGUUGGGUGAUUGUGUUUGUAAGUAACUUUUGCCGUUCGGGACUUUGACGA